UACAGAGGUCUCAAGCGUUGUUCGGAUUUAUUGGGCGUAAAGGGUGCGUAGGCGGCGAGCUAAGUUUGGUGUGAAAUCCUGGGGCUUAACCUCAGAAAUGCACUGAAUACUGGUUUGCUAGAGGACUGGAGAGGAGAUUGGAAUUCACGGUGUAGCAGUGAAAUGCGUAGAUAUCGUGAGGAAGACCAGUGGCGAAAGCGAAUCUCUGGACAGUUCCUGACGCUGAUGCACGAAGGCUAGGGGAGCAAACGGG
RNAcentral lists this ribosomal RNA (253 nucleotides) under uncultured bacterium. RNAcentral's name for it is "partial 16S ribosomal RNA". It matches the Rfam family "Bacterial small subunit ribosomal RNA", at positions 524 to 776 of the family's 1533-position model. The record is from RNAcentral.